GCGCCCGUAGCUCAGCUGGAUUAGAGUACUGCCCUCCGAAGGCAGGGGUCGCACGUUCGAAUCGUGUCGGGCGCGCCA
RNAcentral lists this transfer RNA (78 nucleotides) under Burkholderiales bacterium. Its description in RNAcentral is "tRNA-Arg". It matches the Rfam family "tRNA". From Rfam's summary of the family: Transfer RNA (tRNA) molecules are approximately 80 nucleotides in length. Their secondary structure includes four short double-helical elements and three loops (D, anti-codon, and T loops). RNAcentral also lists the same sequence under 3 other names. Lineage: Bacteria; Pseudomonadati; Pseudomonadota; Betaproteobacteria; Burkholderiales. The record is from RNAcentral.